AACCAAUGUACAAGAGGGUUAGAGGAAUUCGCUUGCUUAAACAAAAGUAUUGUCUGCUGUAAAUACCUAUCAUGCCUACUAAGCAGAACAAAGGCACUAACCAUUGAUAAGGAAAAGCAGACACCUGGUUCUAUUGAUAAGGAAAAGCAGAUGCCUGAUUCUACUGAUAAGGGGGAGAAGCAGAUGGUUUAUGGCUGGGACACUGACCAAACCCUAAGGCCAUAUGUGAAGACUAAAAGGUGAAAAGUUUAUGAAGAGGAAGACUCAUUUACUUCAUCUUGAAGACCCCUACCCACAGGAGGAAGACUCAUUUACUUCAUCUUGAGACCCCUGCCCAUGACCAGAGGGGGGCACUGCGCAGGCGCAAAGGACCUUCUAGCUCAUUAUAAUACGAAGUGGGGAUAGAUACUAAAUAUGUAUAGGCAUAUCGAGUAAUCUAAUGCAUAUGUAUACCUUAAGACAAUAAAUAUAGAGGGAAAAAUGACCCUGGGUGUGCAUACUUUGGAGAAGCUAUCCCCAUGCACCUCAGCGCUGAAUAAAAGCAUACCUACUUUACAACUUUAACGAGUUGUGGGGUCAAUCCACGUAUCAAUUUAGUGAGCCAGCCAGGAGGUCUCUGUUCGGCUGCAGGAUCAGCUGAGGGGCGGACAUCUUAGGUGCCCUAGGUCACUUGCCUGGAGGAGCUCCACUUCUCAUCAGCUCACUGCAGGGACAGACAACAACCUGUGCUGGCUGCGGAGAAACAGUAUGCUUGGAAUUUAGGCAAUUUAGGGGCCUGUAAGGUGUACGCAUGGCCUGGGGCUGCUGGUAAGGUACACAGAGACAUCUGGCACAGCAAAGUUCUCCUUGGCAGGUAGGGCUUGCAAGCAGGGGGCUUGUCCACCGAUAGAGUGGCUGCGAGUGAUCCUGAAGGUGGAUCGGCCGAGUCUGGGUUUUCGCUGCACCCCAAGUUUUGGGAGCCAGGACGGACCUGCUAAGGGAAGCAGGUGAAGGGUAGGUGAACCCACCAGGUCUCCACUGCAUCUCAAAUUCUGGGAACCACGACGGACCUGCUACCAUAAGAAGCAGGAGAAGGGUAAGCGGAACCAUAGUGUGAGUGUGUGGGAUCCCGUGUGUGCUUGUGUUUCUGUGUGACUGAGACGUAGCAUAGCUACGAAGCGAGUGUGGAGUCCGAAUCUGCAGUUCCGUGUCUCCGCGAGGGGAGUGGCUGGUGAUGGACAAAGCGUUUAUGUUUUUCUGCCCUGUGUCUUAUCUGUGUAUAAUCAUUAAGGAGCUUAGAAAGUGGGGGAAGGUCCGGCUACCCCUCCCACAGUGGAUAGCUUUACAAAAUACAAGGGCAAGGGAAUUCCCUAUGUGCCUUGUGGGAGUGUAACUGUAUAUGCCGGGUGGCAUUUCACGUGGAUAUUGUGGGAGUAUGUGCCCUGUGGAGUGUAACUGUAUGUGACGGGUGGCAUUUCACAUGGAGAUUGUGGCAGUGCUUUUGGUGUAGAUUCCACUUUUAUAGCCACUCAGGGUAUCAGUGGGGCAGAUACUGCUUGGGGUGUCUUACGAAACACUGAUUACUUUGUGGAGAAAAGCCACAAAAUCAUGAAGGACUUCUGGGAAGUUAAAAAGGAAAACUGAGACAGGGUUUGUAAAAAGUAUCAAAGAAAAUUUGAGGAGACGUGGUUACAAAGGAGAAAGUAAAA
Molecule: long non-coding RNA, 1688 nt
Organism: Pezoporus occidentalis (night parrot)
Lineage: Eukaryota; Metazoa; Chordata; Aves; Psittaciformes; Psittacidae
Exons: 2
Source: RefSeq, a predicted model, not a curated record